Misgurnus anguillicaudatus (oriental weatherfish) is the source of this 696-nucleotide long non-coding RNA. RefSeq lists it as uncharacterized. Lineage: Eukaryota; Metazoa; Chordata; Actinopteri; Cypriniformes; Cobitidae. The record is from RefSeq and is a predicted model, not a curated record.
AUGAGACUCAAAGUGUUUAGUACCGGAAUUAUUCUUUAAGACUUUUUUUCUUUAACAAAGCAUUCACAUAAUUUGUUUAGUAAAUUAUACUUAUCUCGCAAAAGUUAGCUUGUACGGAACAAAGCAUUCACAUAACCUGUCUGGGUAAUUUACUAAUGCCGCAAUAGCUAGCCUGUCUGGAACCGAUCAGAUAUUAAAACACAACACUGUGUGACACUGCAUUACAUGUGAAUGGCCCCUACGCUAAUAGGAUUUUGUUUCUCUCUCCCUGUCUCGUCCUCAAACCCGAGGACAUUGAGACAAACAGACCAGUUCCGGCUGCCGUGGAGGUCAACACACCACUGAUCUACUGGCUGCCCUUCAACGUGAUGCCCAGCCGAUGCCUGACCACCGACGGAACCCGUUAAAUCUCCUUAUCCGUUUACAUCCCAUAUAUAUAUAUGUAUGCAGUGAGGGAGUGAUUCCCCAACAUCGAGGUGGCAGAGAUCCGGGACCUUCUACGGAGGAAGUGCAACAAUGCCAGUUACAAGGCCUCCAGUAGUUCAAAUCAGAGCUAGAUGUCCAUAUAGUACAAGUUGUUCGCAAUUGUUCUCUUCCCGGCAUUUCAAAGAAAGUCGACUGUUUAAGGUUCCCCAUUUUGCCAAUAUCUGUUUUGUGUGUUACUUUUGUGUCAUUAAUAAAGAUCCUUUUUUGAAA